Molecule: ribosomal RNA, 473 nt
Filed under: uncultured Desulfovibrio sp.
Lineage: Bacteria; Pseudomonadati; Thermodesulfobacteriota; Desulfovibrionia; Desulfovibrionales; Desulfovibrionaceae
Description: bacterial SSU rRNA
Rfam family: Bacterial small subunit ribosomal RNA
Source: RNAcentral
ACGGGGCCCGCACAAGCGGUGGAGUAUGUGGUUUAAUUCGAUGCAACGCGAAGAACCUUACCUAGGUUUGACAUCCGGAAGACCUUCCCGAAAAGGAAGGGUGCCCUUCGGGGAAUUCCGAGACAGGUGCUGCAUGGCUGUCGUCAGCUCGUGCCGUGAGGUGUUGGGUUAACGUCCCGCAACGAGCGCAACCCUUAUUGCCAGUUGCUACCAGGUAAUGCGUGGGCACUCUGGUGAGACUGCCCCGGUUAACGGGGAGGAAGGUGGGGACGACGUCAAGUCAUCAUGGCCCUUACGCCUAGGGCUACACACGUACUACAAUGGCGCAUACAAAGGGCAGCGAUACCGCGAGGUGGAGCCAAUCCCAAAAAGUGCGUCCCAGUCCGGAUUGCAGUCUGCAACUCGACUGCAUGAAGUUGGAAUCGCUAGUAAUUCGAGAUCAGCAUGCUCGGGUGAAUGCGUUCCCGGGCCUU